Bactrocera oleae (olive fruit fly) is the source of this 818-nucleotide non-coding RNA. Lineage: Eukaryota; Metazoa; Arthropoda; Insecta; Diptera; Tephritidae. The record is from RefSeq and is a predicted model, not a curated record.
AUGGACGUCUUUGCAAUUACCUUCACUCUCUCUACGACGCUCUUGACUGUCGUGUUGGCUCUUUCUACCUGCCGUUUUUGCAACUAUCGGAAUUUCAUUGUGUGCCAUGGAAAUCUUUGAUUUGUUUCCUGAUGCCACACAUUCUUUGCAGCAAAUGUUAUUCCUUAAGGAGACGUUGCUGUUAAUGAUGCCGCAGACCGACCUCAAAGAAACGCCAAGGCGAAGACAAGUCCUCCACUCAGUCACUAUUGGCAUGUCUUGUGAAUAAGUAUAGUUUUACACAUAAUUCGUUAGGCGCUUAAGCAAGUUGAUUUUUCGAAUGGGACGUAAAAUCACGUUGUUUUUAUUGAAGGGGGUUUUGAUAUUUAAGGGUCGUGAUGUCUUGCUAACCACAGCAAAGUACCCAACAGGCACCAGUUCUGCUAGUACUCAACAGAACAAAGGAUGUGAAUGUGUGCGCAGGACUACUCACAUUAAAAGACCAAAGCGGCAGCUGCAUUUUAAUUCAUUGGAACUACUAUAGACUUAUGAGCUCAAAAAUGCCAUACGCACAUACAAACACGUGUGUGAAUCUAUUCGAAAGCAUGUGUAUAGAAAUUCCAUUCGAAGUCUGCUAAGUAACAAACUAUUGACUAUAGGUGACAGGACAUAUCGCACAGAACCUCUAUACCAGCAUAACUGGGAGGGAGGAUAAUAUGCUAAAGGGAAAUGAAGGAUACCGGAUUGAAGGUAAUAACUUCUAUGCAAGGGUGCGCGGAGGUUUUAAAAUUGAGAAGCAAUCAUAGGAAUAUAUGCACGUGACGAGGGGAGAAUAUAAA